This 253-nucleotide ribosomal RNA is filed under the name uncultured bacterium. RNAcentral describes it as "partial 16S ribosomal RNA". It matches the Rfam family "Bacterial small subunit ribosomal RNA", at positions 524 to 776 of the family's 1533-position model. The record is from RNAcentral.
UACGUAGGGUGCAAGCGUUAAUCGGAAUUACUGGGCGUAAAGCGUGCGCAGGCGGUGAUGUAAGACAGGUGUGAAAUCCCCGGGCUUAACCUGGGAACUGCAUUUGUGACUGCAUCGCUGGAGUGCGGCAGAGGGGGAUGGAAUUCCGCGUGUAGCAGUGAAAUGCGUAGAUAUGCGGAGGAGCACCGAUGGCGAAGGCAAUCCCCUGGGCCUGUACUGACGCUCAUGCACGAAAGCGUGGGGAGCAAACAGG